GGGCUCGUAGUCCAAUGGUAGAACACUUGCCUUGCACGCAUGAGAUCCGGGUUCGAUUCCCGGCGAGUCCA
Molecule: transfer RNA, 71 nt
Filed under: Candidatus Diapherotrites archaeon ADurb.Bin253
Lineage: Archaea; Nanobdellati; Candidatus Iainarchaeota
Also listed under: 1 other name
Description: tRNA-Ala
Rfam family: tRNA
About the family: Transfer RNA (tRNA) molecules are approximately 80 nucleotides in length.
Source: RNAcentral